GGAUAGCUUGGUUUGGAUUGCGACGAAGGACGUGGCAAGCUGCGAUAAGCUCGGGCGAAGUGCAUGCGACUAUUGAACCCGAGAUCUCCUAAUGCGAGAACGUAUUUAUGCCGAGAGGCAGGUAAACGCCGGGAAUUGAAACAUCUUAGUACCGGCAGGAAAAGAAAUCAAUUGAGAUUCCCUGAUUAGCAGCGAGCGAAAAGGGAACAGGGCAAACCGAAUCUGUUUUUGAAAAGAAAUUAGAGAUGUGGUGGAGAUAAAUGGCUAAGUUGUCGAAGAGAAGUUGCCUGGAAAGGCGCACCUUAGAGGGUGAUAGUCCCGUAACUUAAGACAAUAUGUUGUUCUCCGAAAGAGUAGGGCUCCUUAGAUAAGGGGUCUGAAUAUGGUGGGAUUAACCGCCAACCCUAAACAUAAAUCCAAGUCCGAUAGUGAACUUAGUACCGCGAGGGAAAGCUGAAAAGUACUCUUAAUCGAGGGUUAAAAGACUUGAAAUCUAUUAGUUACAUGAUGGUUACGGCCUUUAGGGGUUGUAACGUACGUUUGGAAAAAUGGGCCAAGGAGUUUAUCAAAGUGGCGAGGUUAAAUUGGAACCAUAGCGAAAGCGAGUAUGAAAAUGCGUUAGUCACUUGGAUAAGACCCGAAACCGGAUGAUCUAUUCGUGGGCAAGCUGAAGUUUUCCGAAAGGAGAAUGGAGGGCUGAACCGUUGUUGUGUGCAUGCACUCGAAUGACCUGCGAAUAGGGGUGAAAAGCCUAUCUAAUUCGGCGAUGGCUGGUUCCUGUCGAAAUAUGCCUAAGUAUAGUCUAAUUUAGUUUGCUGGCGAGGUAAAGUACGGAUAGGGUUCGCAGGGCCGAAAGGUUACGGAACCUCUUCCAACUCUGAACUUGUCAACUGCUUAAAAUUGGAAUGGGGGGCGGCGCGUAAGGUGCUGUUCCGAGACCCGAACAAGGGAGACUGAAGUUAAGGUCCCAAAGUGUAUGCUAAGUGUAUCAAAGGGUGUCUUGAACCUAAGACAGUAGGGAUGUAGGCCCAGAAGCAGCCACCAUUUAAAGAAAGCGUAACAGCUCACUGGUCAAG
RNAcentral lists this ribosomal RNA (1076 nucleotides) under uncultured Symbiodinium. RNAcentral's name for it is "partial Archaeal large subunit ribosomal RNA". It matches the Rfam family "Archaeal large subunit ribosomal RNA", at positions 27 to 1239 of the family's 2987-position model. Lineage: Eukaryota; Dinophyceae; Suessiales; Symbiodiniaceae. The record is from RNAcentral.